This 353-nucleotide long non-coding RNA is filed under the name Zonotrichia albicollis (white-throated sparrow). Its description in RNAcentral is "lncRNA (ENSZALG00000010865.1)". Lineage: Eukaryota; Metazoa; Chordata; Aves; Passeriformes; Passerellidae. The record is from RNAcentral.
AGAUAUAAAAUCCUUUACCUUGGCCCUGAUUCUGCUACAUGUUGUUCAGCUCAGGAUGAUCUAUUUUCUUUUGAAAGACAAGAGUUGAGCCCUCUGAUGUUCCCUCCACACAUCAUUAUUUUCAAGGGGGACCUCUGACCUGCAUGCCAGAGAAGGAAAACUUAAAAGCAUCUGUUUCCCCCUGUGCAAUUUUCACACUUCUGUUCCUGGGAGGCUGAAGUUUGGCCCUUGGGGCUGGAAUGGAAGGUUCCAGAUCAGCACCUGAGAUCUCCAUCUGUAUCACCAUCCUCAGCAACUGCUCAGAGGCCCACAGGAAGGUGGGUUCCACAGGAAUCCUUGGUGAGAUCAUGUAA